CAAUGUAUAUACUUCUAUCACAAAACAUAUAAUGUGUCUAUGUUUACUACUUUCACCAUGUUGAACAUGUCAACUGUGAACGUAUAUUUUACAUGACAUUGUAUAGGAAUAACCCACAAUGUCUCGAUAUACUCGUAUACUUUGCGUAUACGUUCUGCAGUUACAGAUAUACAUUCUUCUACGUUGACCCGUCUUCUACUGGCACAUGUGUUGCUUAUGGACGAAUUAUCUGUACGUGAUUGGUCAGUUAAAACACCUAUCAUCACAGAAUUCACCGAAGUACCAGACGACAGGAAUGAUGAAGAUAAUUUGUGCUGCAGUAUUAUAUCUGAGUGCAGGUUUUGUAUCAGGUGCACCCAGUGCCAGUCCAGUGUUGUCUGCAGUGUCUGACACAGCCAAGUUCAGCUGGGAGAUUCCACAGGGGGAGGUCUGGGGAUAGGGAGUUCUUUCUUUGCUGUCAGUCCUGCCGGUACUGCUG
This is a long non-coding RNA of Haliotis rubra (blacklip abalone), 478 nucleotides long. RefSeq lists it as uncharacterized. NCBI's taxonomy places the organism in Eukaryota, Metazoa, Mollusca, Gastropoda, Lepetellida, Haliotidae. The transcript has 3 exons. The record is from RefSeq and is a predicted model, not a curated record.